This 406-nucleotide ribosomal RNA is filed under the name uncultured bacterium. Its description in RNAcentral is "partial 16S ribosomal RNA". It matches the Rfam family "Bacterial small subunit ribosomal RNA", at positions 30 to 526 of the family's 1533-position model. The record is from RNAcentral.
AUUGAACGCUGGCGGCAGGCUUAACACAUGCAAGUCGAGCGAGCGGCGGACGGGUGAGUAAUUUCUGGGAAACUGCCUGAUGGAGGGGGAUAACUACUGGAAACGGUAGCUACUACCGCAUACCAUCAGAUCUGCCCAGAUGGGAUUAGCUAGUCGGUGGGGUAAUGGCUCACCUAGGCGACGAUCCCUAGCUGGUCUGAGAGGAUGACCGGCCACACUGGAACUGAGACACGGUCCAGACUCCUACGGGAGGCAGCAGUGGGGAAUAUUGGACAAUGGGCGAAAGCCUGAUGCAGCCAUGCCGCGUGUGUGAAGAAGGCCUUCGGGUUGUAAAGCACUGUCAGCGGGGAGGCGGUACCCGAAGAAGAAGCACCGGCUAACUCCGUGCCAGCAGCCGCGGUAAUAC